GUCACACAAAAAUUAUACUGUGCUCUGACUGUAACUCAAAUAACCUGUCAAUAGAUAUGGAAUUAGCAUUACAGAUGAAUCAUAUAUAGGGAAAUCAUUUCUAAGGGCAGGGGCAGUUUACAAUAACCUGUUAUCCUUGGCAUUAAAAUAAAGCAAGAGCACUCAGAACCCUCAGGUCAGUGGUGGUAACUGUUGCAUAGGGGGUGAUGAUUGGUCAAGCCACCUGAAUAACAUCACCAUUUCUCAUUUGAGUAAACCCAGCAUGGGUCACAGACAGCAGAACAGUGGGUCUGACUACCUACCUAUAGCAACACAUUUGCAGAAUAAUAGUUUAAGAUUGUCGCUGACCAGAAUUUCAAUGCUCUCAUUACAGUUUUAUGAAGCUUCAUAAGCCAGCAUGGUACAAAUUCUCCAAGGAUUUUUCCUGCUAUCCCCAAGAAAGUAGUGAGAAGUAAUUCUGUUACCUGAGAGAAGAGAAAAAGAAGCUUUAGUACUAAUUCAAGCUGCUGCACUUACUUUAGUUGAGGCAAACUGCUCUACUGAAUUUCCUGGAAAGAGUUCGUUUUACUGUUUCCAAAGGAGACCUGAACCAUGCAGAAUCGUCUGUAGAACAGAAAAUGGUAAGCACUGUGCUUGUUUUGAUUCAAUCCAAAGUUAUGAAAUUAUGAACUCCAUUACAAAAAAAGAUAGAAAAAUCAUGUCAUAUGUACUAAAACAGAAAGACUCCUCUGAAACAGAAGGAAUACAGAAGAAACAAAAUAUGUGACAG
Molecule: long non-coding RNA, 769 nt
Filed under: Anas platyrhynchos platyrhynchos (common mallard)
Lineage: Eukaryota; Metazoa; Chordata; Aves; Anseriformes; Anatidae
Description: lncRNA (ENSAPLG00000021855.1)
Source: RNAcentral